This is a long non-coding RNA of Oncorhynchus nerka (sockeye salmon), 1241 nucleotides long. RefSeq lists it as uncharacterized. Lineage: Eukaryota; Metazoa; Chordata; Actinopteri; Salmoniformes; Salmonidae. The transcript is spliced from 2 exons. The record is from RefSeq and is a predicted model, not a curated record.
UGUGCCACAGGUCCCUGUGCUGUUGGAGAGCAGAAGCUGGAAGAGUGUGGGACUGCUGUACCAAUUGUCCACGUACAAAGUGUGUCCCUUGCUGAGAUGAGGAGCCAGCAUGGUCAUCACCACGGACCCGGACAACCCAAGCCUCGUAAUGUUGGAUGUCAGUGGUGGACCCUGUGUAAACUAUAAUAUCCUGGACAAAUCCUGUCUUCACGUCACACAUGACAAAGAACUUGACCCCAAACCUGUGCCUUUUGGAGGGAAUAUAUUGACGCAACGCCAGCCUACCUUUCCAUAACAUCAGGGACUCAUCAAUGCAUAGGUCCUUGUAUGGCACAAAGACCCGACCAACUGCUUAUGUCAGGCUGCUCCAAAGCAUAGUGAUUGGUCUCCUCUACUAUGUCUCCCACCAGCUCCUCUGUCAGAAACAACUUGAAACACUCUGCCUCAGAUGGAAAUGGCAAGGGGCUUUGCACUCCAGACUGGGACUCAUCAAGCAAACAGCAGGGCCAGGAGGGGUGAAAUGGCUGGUGGCCAUCCAGUUACCACAGAGCUCCUGUACUUCAUCCACUGUCGGUCUGCCUCCAUCACCAUCAGCAUCUUCAAAGGGACCUGGGACUUCGUCAGUGGACAAGUGUUCCUCAGAUUCAGGGUUCUCAAUGGCUACAAGGUUGGGGGGCAGCUCCUCACGGUCACUGUCACUGUCAGAAUCCGAUUCCUGACUUUCAUACUCAGACUCAUUGUCAGAAUUUGUGAGUUGUCUCCUUUUGAAAGACAUUGCUAAUGCUACAGUUUAGCUCACUAGCUACACACAUAAACUACAACACUGAAUGGCUCAGUGAGAGGUUGAGUGAGAGGUUACGUGAUUGACUGCCAGCACGCGCCACUUGUAUCAAUAAAUCACUAUCAGAGAAUGUUUGUGGUAAUUAUUUAUGGGUGAUUAUGCAACUACGGGCACUUCCAUGUCCUCAGGUAAAUUUUGGGGAUUUUAUACAAAAUAAAACAAAUACUUGUAUGUUAAGUUCACACUGCAACCACCCCAUACUUUUUUAAACACCUCUCUAUCAAGUAUUUUAGCUACAUUUUAGAUGCAUUGUAUACCUCAAUUUCACUAUUUUGCCCAUGUCUCUGACUCAGAAUUGUAAGCUUCUACUAUGUUUUUCUAUGGGAAAACAUUAAUAAUUACGCAUUAUAUAAUGUUAUGUACUACAGAAAGAGUCAAUUAAAUAAAAUCUAUAUCAAUA